GGCGAACGCUGGCGGCGUGCUUAACACAUGCAAGUCGAGCGGUAAGGCCCUUUCGGGGGUACACGAGCGGCGAACGGGUGAGUAACACGUGGGUGACCUGCCCUCAGCUCUGGGAUAAGCCCGGGAAACUGGGUCUAAUACCGGAUAUGACUUCAUGACGCAUGUUGUGGAGUGGAAAGCCUUGUGCGGCUGAGGAUGGGCCCGCGGCCUAUCAGCUUGUUGGUGGGGNGAUGGCCUACCAAGGCGACGACGGGUAGCCGGCCUGAGAGGGCGACCGGCCACACUGGGACUGAGAUACGGCCCAGACUCCUACGGGAGGCAGCAGGU
RNAcentral lists this ribosomal RNA (327 nucleotides) under uncultured bacterium. Its description in RNAcentral is "bacterial SSU rRNA". It matches the Rfam family "Bacterial small subunit ribosomal RNA", at positions 28 to 355 of the family's 1533-position model. The record is from RNAcentral.